GAUGAACGCUGGCGGCGUGCCUAAUACAUGCAAGUCGAGCGAACGGACGAGAAGCUUGCUUCUCUGAUGUUAGCGGCGGACGGGUGAGUAACACGUGGAUAACCUACCUAUAAGACUGGGAUAACUUCGGGAAACCGGAGCUAAUACCGGAUAAUAUUUUGAACCGCAUGGUUCAAAAGUAAAAGACGGUCUUGCUGUCACUUAUAGAUGGAUCCGGGCUGCAUUAGCUAGUUGGUAGGGUAACGGCUUACCAAGGCAACGAUGCAUAGCUGACCUGAGAGGGUGAUCGGUCACACUGGAAAUGAGACAGGGUCCAGACUCCUAGGGGAGGCAGCAGUGGGGAAUAUUGGGCAAUGGGCGGAAGCCUGGUGGAGAAAUGACGAGUGUGUGAAGAAGGUCUUCGGAUUGUAAAGCACUGUAAGUUGGGAGGAAGGGAAGUAAGAUAAAACCGGGAUAUCUUGACGGUACCGACAGAGUAAGCACCGGCUAACGGCGUG
This 497-nucleotide ribosomal RNA is filed under the name uncultured bacterium. RNAcentral describes it as "partial 16S ribosomal RNA". It matches the Rfam family "Bacterial small subunit ribosomal RNA", at positions 28 to 507 of the family's 1533-position model. The record is from RNAcentral.